UGCCCUUGGGAAAAUAACUCCUUUUUUGUUUGUUUGUGAAAGGAUAUGUGAAGAUGAAAAGUGAUAAAAUAUACCCUACUAGACAUGCAAAACAUUCUUAUCGAAUUCAGCAUGGUUCUACACAUCCUUGAGAAUAACUGUUUUGUGUUCAACAUCCAAGAGAAUACAAAGGCAGUCUGGGAAUUAAAGGAGAGAAGGAUCUACCCCAGAAGAAAGUAGGAACGUAGUCCCCCACUACCACAAAUUACGCAGUAGAUUUUCCCACAUUUGGGGAAAUCACGAGGAUCAGCACAUCUGGAGUGCAAUGGAUAAGCCUCGCCCUGGGAAAACCACCUUCGUGAUCAUGUAAAAAAAAACCGUAAUCUUUGUUGUAAUGCUUGUAGGAUAAGUAGAUAAAGUUAGGAUCCUGCAGACGAUGGAAGGCUUAGUGAUGGAGCUGAAUAAUGACGAAGGGCUGAAGAGGAACCAUGGAGAAAUUCCAGGAGUUGUAAAUUUGUAGACUUGUCUCAUUUUCCCUCUGGAGAUAUUGAUUUGCAUUCCGAAGGGUAAGAACCUGAAGUCUUUAGCUUUCUCUUCCCCAGGAGAAUUUGUUUACAUUAGAGAAAUUAAGUUUUUCUCCUUCUUUCAGGAGGUGAAGGAGGCAAGGUGUAUACAAUGUGCCAGAUUCACAUUUUCAGGAUUUCUUUCUUACAAUACAGACCCUAGCACAUGUAAGGUGACACCUGGCUCUCAUCACAUUGCCCUAGAAAAGAGAAGAAUUGAGCCAAAGAGGAAUCAACGUAGUUAUUGCUAUAACAAUAAUAAUCUUUCCUUGCCCCAGAAAACUUGGGUCUACUUUCAAAAUAAUAGGUAUAAAUGUACAUAUUAGAAACUCAUCACAUAAUACCC
Diceros bicornis minor is the source of this 888-nucleotide long non-coding RNA. RefSeq lists it as uncharacterized. The transcript is spliced from 3 exons. The record is from RefSeq and is a predicted model, not a curated record. Lineage: Eukaryota; Metazoa; Chordata; Mammalia; Perissodactyla; Rhinocerotidae.